CUCUGUUGUUUGAAUACUUGGUUUAAGCUAUGAAACUGAGAUAGUUAUUUUUGGUUUGUAGGGGGAUCUUGGGACAGAGUACUUAGUGAGGCCAGUUGGUAGAGCUGAAGAUGAGGAGGAUGCAAGUGAUUUUGAGCCGGAAGAGAAUGGUGUGGAAGAGGAUAUAGACGAAGGAGAAGACGAUGAGAAUGAUAACUCGGGUGGUGCUGGGAAGUCAGAGGCUCCGCCGAAGAGGAAGAGAGCUCCUGAAGAAGAUGAAGAGGAUAGUGGUGAUGAAGAUGAUGACAGACCUCCAAAGA
Molecule: small RNA, 299 nt
Filed under: Arabidopsis thaliana (thale cress)
Lineage: Eukaryota; Viridiplantae; Streptophyta; Magnoliopsida; Brassicales; Brassicaceae
Description: ATSL048030
Source: RNAcentral